This 786-nucleotide ribosomal RNA is filed under the name uncultured bacterium. Its description in RNAcentral is "bacterial SSU rRNA". It matches the Rfam family "Bacterial small subunit ribosomal RNA", at positions 56 to 812 of the family's 1533-position model. The record is from RNAcentral.
UGCAAGUCGAGCGGUAGCACAAGGGAGCUUGCUCCCUGGGUGACGAGCGGCGGACGGGUGAGUAAUGUCUGGGAAACUGCCUGAUGGAGGGGGAUAACUACUGGAAACGGUAGCUAAUACCGCAUAACGUCGCAAGACCAAAGAGGGGGACCUUCGGGCCUCUUGCCAUCAGAUGUGCCCAGAUGGGAUUAGCUAGUAGGUGGGGUAAUGGCUCACCUAGGCGACGAUCCCUAGCUGGUCUGAGAGGAUGACCAGCCACACUGGAACUGAGACACGGUCCAGACUCCUACGGGAGGCAGCAGUGGGGAAUAUUGCACAAUGGGCGCAAGCCUGAUGCAGCCAUGCCGCGUGUGUGAAGAAGGCCUUCGGGUUGUAAAGCACUUUCAGCGAGGAGGAAGGUGGUGAGCUUAAUACGUUCAUCAAUUGACGUUACUCUCAAAAGAAGCCCCGGCUAAACUCCGUGCCAGCAGCCGCGGUAAUACGGAAGGGUGCAAGCGUUAAUCGGAAUUACUGGGCGUAAAGCCGCACGCAGGCGGUUUGUUAAGUCAGAUGUGAAAUCCCCCGGGCUCCAACCCUGGGAACUGCAUUUGAAACUGGCAAGCUAGAGUCUCGUAGAGGGGGGUAGAAUUCCAGGUGUAGCGGUGAAAUGCGUAAAGAUCUGGAGGAAUAACCGGGUGGCGAAAGGCGGCCCCCCUGGACAAAAACUGACGCUUCAGGUGCGAAAAGCGUGGGGAGCAAACAGGAUAUAGAUAACCCCUGGGUAAUUCCCACGCCUGUAAACGAUGU